UACGUAGGGUCCGAGCGUUGUCCGGAAUUAUUGGGCGUAAAGAGCUCGUAGGCGGCCUGUCGCGUCUGCUGUGAAAGUCCGGGGCUUAACUCCGGGUGUGCAGUGGAUACGGGCAGGCUUGAGGUAGGUAGGGGAGACUGGAAUUCCUGGUGUAGCGGUGAAAUGCGCAGAUAUCAGGAGGAACACCGGUGGCGAAGGCGGGUCUCUGGGCCUUACCUGACGCUGAGGAGCGAAAGCGUGGGGAGCGAACAGG
RNAcentral lists this ribosomal RNA (253 nucleotides) under uncultured bacterium. RNAcentral describes it as "partial 16S ribosomal RNA". It matches the Rfam family "Bacterial small subunit ribosomal RNA", at positions 524 to 776 of the family's 1533-position model. The record is from RNAcentral.